ACAAAAACUAAUUGAUAUCCGUAUUUUAAAAUUAUUUUUCUUUUUGGAACGUGGGUUUUAUUGUAGUUGAUUUUCUUCAAAGGAUGUAAGUUUCUGCUCUUGUUAAUUUCUCUUUUUUCUAUUUCAAGGCUAGCUCGGUAUUGAUUUUCUGAUUUUUUUUAAAUUAAAUUAUUUUUUUCUGGAUUUUGAUUUCGGUUGAGAAU
RNAcentral lists this long non-coding RNA (203 nucleotides) under Vigna radiata. RNAcentral describes it as "long non-coding RNA (VRAD_LNC005398)". The record is from RNAcentral. Lineage: Eukaryota; Viridiplantae; Streptophyta; Magnoliopsida; Fabales; Fabaceae.